RNAcentral lists this ribosomal RNA (253 nucleotides) under uncultured bacterium. Its description in RNAcentral is "partial 16S ribosomal RNA". It matches the Rfam family "Bacterial small subunit ribosomal RNA", at positions 524 to 776 of the family's 1533-position model. The record is from RNAcentral.
UACGUAGGGUGCGAGCGUUAAUCGGAAUUACUGGGCGUAAAGCGUGCGCAGGCGGCUUUGCAAGACAGAUGUGAAAUCCCCGGGCUCAACCUGGGAACUGCAUUUGUGACUGCAAGGCUAGAGUACGGCAGAGGGGGAUGGAAUUCCGCGUUUAGCAGUGAAAUGCGUAGAUAUGCGGAGGAACACCAAUGGCGAAGGCAAUCCCCUGGGCCUGUACUGACGCUCAUGCACGAAAGCGUGGGGAGCAAACAGG